Molecule: ribosomal RNA, 253 nt
Filed under: uncultured bacterium
Lineage: Bacteria
Description: partial 16S ribosomal RNA
Rfam family: Bacterial small subunit ribosomal RNA
Source: RNAcentral
UACGUAGGUGGCAAGCGUUGUCCGGAAUUAUUGGGCGUAAAGAGCUCGUAGGCGGCCUGUCGCGUCUGCUGUGAAAUCCCGGGGCUUAACCCCGGGCGUGCAGUGGAUACGGGCUGGCUGGAGGCAGGCAGGGGAGAAUGGAAUUCCCGGUGUAGCGGUGAAAUGCGCAGAUAUCGGGAGGAACACCGGUGGCGAAGGCGGUUCUCUGGGCCUGUUCUGACGCUGAGGAGCGAAAGCGUGGGGAGCGAACAGG